RNAcentral lists this ribosomal RNA (314 nucleotides) under uncultured bacterium. Its description in RNAcentral is "partial 16S ribosomal RNA". It matches the Rfam family "Bacterial small subunit ribosomal RNA", at positions 499 to 807 of the family's 1533-position model. The record is from RNAcentral.
GUAUAAGAGACAGCAGCAGCCGCGGGAAUACGUAGGGUGCAAGCGUUAAUCGGAAUUACUGGGCGUAAAGCGUGCGCAGGCGGAUAUUUAAGUCAGGGGUGAAAUCCCGCAGCUCAACUGCGGAACUGCCUUUGAUACUGGGUAUCUUGAGUAUGGAAGAGGUUAGUGGAAUUGCGAGUGUAGAGGUGAAAUUCGUAGAUAUUCGCAGGAACACCAGUGGCGAAGGCGGCUAACUGGUCCAUAACUGACGCUGAGGUGCGAAAGCGUGGGGAGCAAACAGGAUUAGAUACCCCCGUAGUCCCUGUCUCUUAUAC